GACGCUGAUAAUAUGGUAACUUACUGAUAUUGCGAAGAUGUUUACGUCAACUAACUGUUCGUUUGUCUUUAUAAAGUUCGGUACCCGGCGCCUCCACCAAAAACCGGCGGCAAGGAAGGCCGGCUUUUGAUGGGGGCGAAACAGGAUCGACAAGGGUGUAAAGAUCGACUUUUUGCUCGGCAUUGUACCGCCGUUAUCGGGCUAAAAUUGUAGUUGCAAACGACAACUAUGCGGAAGCUCGUCUCGCUGCUUAAUCGCGGUGUGACACUUCAAUCAAAGUCCUAGUGGUUCGCACCUCUAGGCGGGGUCCGAAGGCACCUGGCAACAGAAGCCUUCACC
RNAcentral lists this transfer-messenger RNA (339 nucleotides) under Rhizobium sp. M1. It matches the Rfam family "Alphaproteobacteria transfer-messenger RNA", at positions 97 to 355 of the family's 355-position model. Rfam says of the family: Bacterial tmRNA, also known as 10Sa RNA or SsrA, is named for its dual tRNA and mRNA-like properties. Its role is to liberate the mRNA from a stalled ribosome. To accomplish this part of the tmRNA is used as a reading frame that ends in a translation stop signal. The record is from RNAcentral. Lineage: Bacteria; Pseudomonadati; Pseudomonadota; Alphaproteobacteria; Hyphomicrobiales; Rhizobiaceae.